UAAUCGAACUCGGAGAUAGCUGGUUCUCCUCGAAAUGCAUCUAGGUGCGGCCUCACGUGUUUUCCAGUGGGGGUAGAGCUCUGAUAGGGCUAGGGGGCAUAGCGCUUACCAAACCCUGUCAAACUGCGAAUACCAUUGGAUAAGAACGUGGGAGUGAGACUGCGGGUACUAAGAUCCGUAGUCAAAAGGGAAACAACCCAGACCCACAACUAAGGUCCCUAAGUCCAUGCUCAGUGUCAAAGGAUGUCUGGUCGCAGAGACAGCCAGGAUGUUGGCUUAGAAGCAGCCACCAUUGAAAGAGUGCGUAACAGCUCACUGGUCGAGUGGCCGGGCGCCGACAAUGUAUCGGGGCUCAAGCAUGGCACCGAAGUUUGGGGAUCGCGCAAGCGAUCGGUAGAGGAGCGUUCUGUUCGCAGUGAAGCCGGACGGGUGACCGCUGGUGGGGCGUGCAGAAGUGAGAAUGUCGGCAUGAGUAGCGUAAUUCAGGUGAGAAACCUGGACGCCGUAAGCCUGAGGGUUUCUACGCAAGGUUAUUCCGCGUAGAGUUAGGCGGGCCUAAGCCGAGGGCGAGAGCCGUAGGCGAUGGACAGCAGGUUAGUAUUCCUGCCCCGCUGCGGCAGCGUUUGAGAUGAGAGGCGUGACCCGGGAGGAUAGGUAGAGCGGACCCUGUGGACAUGGUCCGUCCUGCACCGUAGGCGUCUGGCGAUAGGCAAAUCCGUCGCCAGGUUAAGCGGAGGGUGCAAGGAAAGCUGGAGCUACGGCAAUAGCGAUUCUGCUGAUUCCAUGCCGGCUAGAAAAGCGUCGUCAUCGAGCUGUUGUGGCGCCCGUACCGCAAACCGACUCUGGUGGGCGACGGUAAGUACCGUCAGGCGUUCGAGAGAACCCUCGUUAAGGAACUCUGCAAUUUGGCUCCGUAACUUCGGGAGAAGGAGCGCCCUUGGAGGUGACGGGCAUACGCCCUGAGCGUCCGGGGGCCGCAGCGAGCCGGCCCAGGCGACUGUUUAACAAAAACACAGGUCUCUGCCAACUCGUAAGAGGAUGUAUAGGGGCUGACACCUGCCCAGUGCCGGAAGGUUAAAGGGAGAGCUGCAAGGCUUGAACUGAAGCCCCGGUGAACGGCGGCCGUAACUAUAACGGUCCUAAGGUAGCGAAAUUCCUUGUCGGGUAAGUUCCGACCCGCACGAAUGGUGUAACGAUCUGGGCGCUGUCUCGACGAGGGACUCGGCGAAAUUGAGCUGGCCGUGAAGACGCGGCCUACCCGCAGCAGGACAAAAAGACCCCGUGGAGCUUUACUGCAUCUUGACGCUGGCGUCCGUACCAGAAUGCGUAGGAUAGGUGGGAGCCUAUGAUCCGGCCCUCUCGGGGGUCGGUGAGGCAACGGUGAAAUACCACUCUUUCUGGUUUGUACUCCUAACUCCUGAGCAAGCAGGAGGACAGCGUCUGGUGGGCAGUUUGACUGGGGCGGUCGCCUCCCUAAAAAAG
Molecule: ribosomal RNA, 1482 nt
Filed under: metagenome
Description: bacterial LSU rRNA
Rfam family: Bacterial large subunit ribosomal RNA
Source: RNAcentral